This 214-nucleotide long non-coding RNA is filed under the name Lathyrus oleraceus (garden pea). Its description in RNAcentral is "Pisum sativum (pea) long non-coding RNA (PSAT_LNC004978)". Lineage: Eukaryota; Viridiplantae; Streptophyta; Magnoliopsida; Fabales; Fabaceae. The record is from RNAcentral.
UAUUUGGAUUUUUGUAGGGAUUUAAUUUUGUUUUCAAUGAGAGAUUGUUGGUGAACAUCAUCAUCAAAGGGUUGAUGAAAAAUGGUUUGCAACGUCGUCAUCAAAGGGUUGAUGGAAAAGGGUGUCAUCACCAAAGGGUUGAUGGAAAAGGGUGUCAUCAUCAAAGGGUUGAUGGAAAGAAAUUUCACUAUGGAGUGACAUCGUCAAAGGGUUG